This is a long non-coding RNA of Anas platyrhynchos (mallard), 984 nucleotides long. RefSeq lists it as uncharacterized. NCBI's taxonomy places the organism in Eukaryota, Metazoa, Chordata, Aves, Anseriformes, Anatidae. The record is from RefSeq and is a predicted model, not a curated record.
GUGCCCUCCCAUCAUCCCACUCCUGCAUCCAGCAACCCGAUCGCAAUCUUAGCUCCUUGCACAUUAGGGAAUCUGCACAAAAGCUGUGCUUGAGCGUGUGCAUGCUGCCUUACAAUAAUUAUCAGGAACUUGAGGAAAAUAAUAAUAAUAAUAAUAAUAAAAUCCUCUCAAGUACAUUUAUUACAGUAAAAAUAAGGUAACAGGGCAGAUUAUGGUCAAAACUUGUACCUGCCAGAGCGAUUAGGAUCACACACAUUUUGUGCAUGCUGCAGCAAUAUAAAAACUACUCUGAAGUAUCACAGGAUUUAAUAAUAAAGAUAUAAAUUUAGAUUUUUUAUUUAUUUUUUUCCAGUAUUUUUAUCUGCACCAGAUCCGCCGGCACGUCUUCCCAACAGCACUCACCCCCGCUGCAACACCCCCCCAGAAAAACCCUUCAGCUUGCAACUUCGCCUGGAGAAAGGCAACAGCUAUAAAAAAACCCGAAAAGCUGAUAGGAUUUGUAUUUCAGUCAUCGUGGUCCAAUUGUCAGAACAAGGGAAAGAAGCUACCGUUUUCAGGAUAUGCAUUGUGCUGGGCUCCAAGGCAGAAACAUUAAGGAUCUGAGCAAUGCUCCAGGUUCGUGGUGGGCUAGAGGCAUUCUACCGAUACCACCUGGAGGUAGAGUUAAAUCCCCAGUCAUUAAUACUUGUGCCGAUGUUUUUUUGCUCCAGCAAAAAUCUAGAUGGCACAUCAAUCCCUCUCUAAUUUAGAAAGGGAACAAAAUCACUGGAAAAAAAUCUGUGAAACAAAAAUACUUCAAUAAAAAUAUUUUCUCCAGCAAAUGCCCUGGCAUCAAAGGAAUAGCUCUGGACAGCACCAGAUGUGUGUGGAAGGUACCAUGUCUGGAUAUUCAGCACAGUACUGGCAAUGUUGCUGUUGGCAGGAUGCUAUUGUCACAGUGGCAUACCUCUCAAUGCCCAGCAGGUGGAAGCAAAAUUUAAGAGG